GUCCCAGGCCUCCCACCUGCAACUGUCUCCUCCUCCUGCUGCCGCCGACAACGCUGAGGCUCAUGGGAACAAACAGGCUAACCGAAAACUGCAGCUCAGCCCAGAGAAAGGUGGGCAGUCCAGUAAGAGGGAUCGUAAGAGCAAAGACACCUCCCAUAACAGUAUGGACAUUUCCUCUCCAAAGACUCGAGGGAGAAAGAGGGUCUUCUCCCAGGCCAACAAGGAUGAAGAGUUUGAGAUCAGUUGUAGCCAGGACACGGAGCACAGUCGGACACAGCCCACCAGAAGCAGCAAACGUCGUAAGGCCAGCGUCACGGAGCGCGCCAUCAUGGUGUGAUGCCCCCUGGCACAACAGUCCAGAACUGCAGCCACAUGCUUCACUCAAUAUCUCUGUAUUGAGGCUUUUUUUCAUCUUUGAAGUUCUGCAUCUUAACAGAAUCUUUGACCAUCCUUGAAAGCGGUAGAUGCACCUUAAGCUUCAUACUCUUAACUAAGACUUGACUUGGUUUGUUGCUGUUUUGUAGGAGUUGCACUGUAAUAGAACUGUCAUUCUGGGUUAACCAAUAGGCAAAGAAGAAGUGUAUAUGACACAGUAAAAAGAUGAUGUACAGUUUCUCUAAU
Branchiostoma belcheri (Belcher's lancelet) is the source of this 621-nucleotide long non-coding RNA. RefSeq lists it as uncharacterized. The transcript is spliced from 3 exons. The record is from RefSeq and is a predicted model, not a curated record. Lineage: Eukaryota; Metazoa; Chordata; Leptocardii; Amphioxiformes; Branchiostomatidae.